UAGGGAAUCUUCGGCAAUGGACGAAAGCCUGACCGAGCAACGCCGCGUGAGUGAAGAAGGCUUUCGGAUCGUAAAACUCUGUUGUUAGAGAAGAACAAGGACGUUAGUAACUGAACGUCCCCUGACGGUAUCUAACCAGAAAGCCACGUCUAACUACGUGCCAGCAGCCGCGGUAAUACGUAGGUGGCAAGCGUUGUCCGGAAUUAUUGGGCGUAAAGCGAGCGCAGGCGGUUUCUUAAGUCUGAUGUGAAAGCCCCCGGCUCAACCGGGGAAGGGCAUUGGAAACUGGGAGACUUGAGUGCGGAAGAGGAGAGUGGAAUUCCAUGUGUAGCGGUGAAAUGCGUAGAUAUAUGGAGGAACACCAGUGGCGAAGGCGGCUCACUGGUCUGUAACUGACGCUGAGGCGCGAAAGCGUGGGGAGCAAACAGG
RNAcentral lists this ribosomal RNA (429 nucleotides) under Gemmatimonadota bacterium. RNAcentral describes it as "Gemmatimonadetes bacterium partial 16S ribosomal RNA". It matches the Rfam family "Bacterial small subunit ribosomal RNA", at positions 355 to 776 of the family's 1533-position model. Lineage: Bacteria; Pseudomonadati; Gemmatimonadota. The record is from RNAcentral.